This 253-nucleotide ribosomal RNA is filed under the name uncultured bacterium. RNAcentral's name for it is "partial 16S ribosomal RNA". It matches the Rfam family "Bacterial small subunit ribosomal RNA", at positions 524 to 776 of the family's 1533-position model. The record is from RNAcentral.
UACGAAGGUCCCAAGCGUUGUUCGGAAUCACUGGGCGUAAAGCGUAUGUAGGCGGCGCGGAAAGUCGGAUGUGAAAGCCCAGAGCUCAACUCUGGAACUGCAUUCGAUACUCCCGUGCUAGAGUAAUGGAGGGGUAAGUGGAAUUCUCGGUGUAGCAGUGAAAUGCGUAGAUAUCGAGAGGAACAUCAAUGGCGAAGGCAACUUACUGGACAUUUACUGACGCUCAGAUACGAAGGCUAGGGUAGCGAAAGGG